Molecule: non-coding RNA, 139 nt
Filed under: Actinopolymorpha singaporensis
Lineage: Bacteria; Bacillati; Actinomycetota; Actinomycetes; Propionibacteriales; Actinopolymorphaceae
Description: Glycine sequence
Rfam family: Glycine riboswitch aptamer
About the family: This family represents the bacterial glycine riboswitch. Glycine riboswitches usually consist of two metabolite-binding aptamers domains with similar structures in tandem. The aptamers cooperatively bind glycine to regulate the expression of downstream genes.
Source: Rfam by way of RNAcentral
CUACCCCGCGUGGGAGAGUCCUGCCAGCUCCACCGCCUCAUGAGUCGCCGUUCCGUCGGCGACCGGCCGGCGGGGGCGGCGGGCGCCGAAGGGGCAACCCUCCCCGGAACCUCUCAGGCCAACGGACCGCGCGGGCGAG